UUCUCAAAAGCCAAAAGUCCUUUUAGGGGCAAAUUCCCUAUAACCCCUCCACAACAACCCUCAUCUGCCGCCAACAUCUUCAUUCAUCCUCCAACUACCCAACAAUUAAGGUUACCAGCUUUCUCUCCUCCUUUCUCUUCUGUACGUAUCUCUUAACAAUUAAAGUCACCAUGUACUUAUCUUUCCAUCUUCAUUCAUCCUCCAAUUAAUGCUUCCAUAAAAUUCUCAAUAUUUGAAACUUGGUUGGAUUUUCCUCUUCCUGAUGUUGAUGAGGAUGAUGAAGAUUUUGAACUAUCUGAUGCACAACAAGAGUAUGCUCUGACUGUCGAAAGUUUGGCACCAAGAUUGGCUGCUCUUAGGAUUGAACUUUGCCCGGGUUAUAUCAGUGAAAGUUCUUUCUGGAAGAUAUAUUUUGUACUUUUGCAUCCGAGACUUGAACCUCAUGCUGCUGCACUUCUUUCGAGACCCGAGGUAAUAGAUCCAGAAUGCGUUGGUUAAAAUUGCCUAAAAUCAAUUAGACAUACUUGUUGUUGUUGCUUGUGCUGCUGCUUGUUGCUGUUGUUGCUCGUUGCUGUCGGAGCCAUACCGGAUAUAUCCAACCCUUACAACUUCUCUUCAGGGACUAUCCGAGCAACAAGUGAGCAAACCACAAAGAGCAAACACGCUAUUUUGAAAAGGUGGAGACUAAAGGUGAAAAACUGACAAACCACAGUCAACACAACAUCUUCCACGGUUGGA
RNAcentral lists this long non-coding RNA (738 nucleotides) under Helianthus annuus (common sunflower). RNAcentral's name for it is "sRNA HanXRQr2_Chr06g0268401". The record is from RNAcentral. Lineage: Eukaryota; Viridiplantae; Streptophyta; Magnoliopsida; Asterales; Asteraceae.